Molecule: long non-coding RNA, 265 nt
Organism: Hemibagrus wyckioides
Lineage: Eukaryota; Metazoa; Chordata; Actinopteri; Siluriformes; Bagridae
Exons: 3
Source: RefSeq, a predicted model, not a curated record
GUUCCUUAGCUGCCUACUUUCAGACAGAGAGGUGACGGAUAUCGGCUUGAAGCUGCCUGCUCUCCGCCAGGCGUUUGCUACUGUGUUCAGCUGCAUGCUUAAUCAGAACUUCCUGUUUCUGACCGGAAAGAAGAUCGUGAUGCAACUGGCAGCAGCUAACAACCAGGACACAGAUCACGUACGGUUGGCCUACGAGGCGCUGAUCCGGUUCCUGAGGACAUCGUCUAACCAGGAAUCGAUUACAGCAGAGCUCUCCGGGGCCGGG